UGGGGGAUAUUGCACAAUGGGCGAAAGCCUGAUGCAGCGACGCCGCGUGGGGGAUGAAGGCCUUCGGGUUGUAAACUUCUUUUGCUCUGAACAAGGCAUGCCUUUGGGGUGUGUUGAGUGUAGGGGUUGAUUAGCGCCGGCUAACUACGUGCCAGCAGCCGCGGUAAUACGUAGGGCGCGUGCGUUGUCCGGAAUUAUUGGGCGUAAAGGGCUUGUAGGUGGCUGGUUGCGUCUGUCGUGAAAGCUCAUGGCUUAACUGUGGGUUUGCGGUGGGUACGGGCUGGCUUGAGUGCAGUAGGGGAGGCUGGAAUUCCUGGUGUAGCGGUGGAAUGCGCAGAUAUCAGGAGGAAUACCGGUGGCGAAGGCGGGUCUCUGGGCUGUUACUGACGCUGAGGAGCGAAAGCGUGGGGAGCGAACAGG
This 420-nucleotide ribosomal RNA is filed under the name Fusobacteriota bacterium. RNAcentral describes it as "Fusobacteria bacterium partial 16S ribosomal RNA". It matches the Rfam family "Bacterial small subunit ribosomal RNA", at positions 355 to 776 of the family's 1533-position model. Lineage: Bacteria; Fusobacteriati; Fusobacteriota. The record is from RNAcentral.